RNAcentral lists this unclassified non-coding RNA (379 nucleotides) under uncultured Pseudomonadota bacterium. Its description in RNAcentral is "uncultured proteobacterium contains 16S-23S intergenic spacer region". Lineage: Bacteria; Pseudomonadati; Pseudomonadota. The record is from RNAcentral.
UCCGGUUUGUCACCGGCAGUCCCCUUAGAGUGCCCAACUGAAUGAUGGCAACUAAGGGCGAGGGUUGCGCUCGUUGCGGGACUUAACCCAACAUCUCACGACACGAGCUGACGACAGCCAUGCAGCACCUGUGUUCCGAUUCCCUUUCAGGCACACCCACCUUUCAGCAGGCUUCCGGACAUGUCAAGGGUAGGUAAGGUUGUUCGCGUUGCAUCGAAUUAAUCCACAUCAUCCACCGCUUGUGCGGGUCCCCGUCAAUUCCUUUGAGUUUUAAUCUUGCGACCGUACUCCCCAGGCGGCUCAUUUAAUGCGUUAGCUUCGGCACAAAGGGGGUCAAUACCCCUCACACCUAGUGCCCAUCGUUUACAGCGUGGACUAC